Molecule: ribosomal RNA, 590 nt
Filed under: uncultured bacterium
Lineage: Bacteria
Description: partial 16S ribosomal RNA
Rfam family: Bacterial small subunit ribosomal RNA
Source: RNAcentral
UGGGGAAUCUUCCGCAAUGGACGAAAGUCUGACGGAGCAACGCCGCGUGAGUGAAGAAGGUUUUCGGAUCGUAAAACUCUGUCUUUUGGGGCGAACGUGAGUAUGGUGAACAAUCAUAGUCAGUGACGGUACCAAAGGAGGAAGCCACGGCUAACUACGUGCCAGCAGCCGCGGUAAUACGUAGGUGGCAAGCGUUGUCCGGAAUUAUUGGGCGUAAAGAGCGCGUAGGCGGGAUAGUCAGUCUGUUGUAAAAGUGCGGGGCUCAACCCCGUGAUGGCAAUGGAAACAGCUAUUCUUGAGUGCAGGAGAGGAAAGUGGAAUUCCCAGUGUAGCGGUGAAAUGCGUAGAUAUUGGGAGGAACACCAGUGGCGAAGGCGACUUUCUGGACUGUGUCUGACGCUGAGGCGCGAAAGCCAGGGGAGCGAACGGGAUUAGAUACCCCGGUAGUCCUGGCCGUAAACGAUGGGUACUAGGUGUGGGAGGUAUCGACCCCUUCCGUGCCGGAGUUAACGCAAUAAGUACCCCGCCUGGGGAGUACGGUCGCAAGACUGAAACUCAAAUGAAUUGACGGGGGUCAUAGCUGUUUCCUG